GUUCUUCCCAUUGUGUAGAUGCUCCUUGACUUAUGAUGAGGUUACAUUCCAAUAAACCUAUUUAACUUAAUGGUUUAAAUUGAUGUCAUAUUGAAAGACAAAAUUUCCACAAGAAGAGACACUUUGAAUACAGAAAAUUCUCAAAAAUGCCUCUCUCAAUCAAGUUCCAUCUUGUGAUACUUUUACUCUCACCUUCGUAGGCCUAUCAGUUCACUUAUUCUGAGAAAUCAACUUGGAAUAUCAAGGAGUGAAACAGAUUGGCUAAGGUACUCAAAAACAUAACAACUGGUGCCCACUUCUUUACUUUGUCAUAACUAAACAAGGCAUCCGAAUAACCUGUUAUAGAAGCAAAAUUAUCUUCAAGGUGACUCUCCAUCCAUUUCUGUAUUAUAAGAGUGACCUGUCAUGCUGCACUGUGGAUAUCAGACAUUUCCUCUUUCUUCCGCUCGGUUCCAUUCACAAUGAACAGUUAUGUGUGCAUUCUAGACAACCUUGGCAAGCGAUGGAUUGAUAUACCAGCU
Rhinopithecus bieti (black snub-nosed monkey) is the source of this 521-nucleotide long non-coding RNA. Lineage: Eukaryota; Metazoa; Chordata; Mammalia; Primates; Cercopithecidae. The record is from Ensembl.